This 68-nucleotide transfer RNA is filed under the name Nitrobacter hamburgensis X14. It matches the Rfam family "tRNA". From Rfam's summary of the family: Transfer RNA (tRNA) molecules are approximately 80 nucleotides in length. Their secondary structure includes four short double-helical elements and three loops (D, anti-codon, and T loops). Lineage: Bacteria; Pseudomonadati; Pseudomonadota; Alphaproteobacteria; Hyphomicrobiales; Nitrobacteraceae. The record is from Rfam by way of RNAcentral.
CGGGGAGUAGAGAUCCGGCCGGUGCGUUCGGGACGCAGGGGUCGCAGGUUCGAAUCCUGCCACUCCGA